GGAGACAUUUUUCGGAGAAAAAGAAUCCAAAACGAAAUGAUAAAGAAAUACGAGGACAGAAAUGCUAUUACCGCGGAACUAGCUGCGUCUAACUGCAAUACGCUCAUCAUUUGCCCUCCGCCGCCGACGAGAAGAGGCCCUCCGCCGCCGCUGUUCCUCCGGCCUCAUGGCGACACUGAGGCCCCGAAUCCGCGCCGUCCCCCUCCGCCCGUUGCUCCUCUUCCUCCUUGUCCCGCUCAUCUACUCCGGCUGCACCCGUGGUCUCCGGAGAAGGGCGUGUGCCUGCCACCUCCCACGGCGCCGAAGCGGCCUGACCACCUCGUGCUCGGCCCCGCCGCCGGACAGGGCCGCCACGACCGCCUCCAGUGCCACGGACUUAAAGCUCUGAAUAAUAUUGGCAUAUCAAGUGACAGGAACUAUUCUGGAGAACAUAUUUCUUUUGUUACUGUAUUCACAACCUACGGUUCUGUCCCAGAUGGAGAUGGCAAAGUUCCAUCUGACACUGUAACUGUUGGAAACCAUUCUUAUAGCAAGAUCGAGAGGUCCAUGGCCAUUUUGAACACUUUCACCAAUUUCAUAAAGGUAUCAAUGCCAAGAAGCAAUGUGAUCAUAUUGACUGAUCCUGAUUCAAAAUUUUCAGUAAGUCAAGGGAGCGCUACACUAAUGCCUAUUGAAGGAAAUUAUUCUCGGGGAAAUUUGAUGCUUCAAAGAAUCAAGUCCUACAUUGCAUUUCUGGAGCAAAAGCUUGUGGAAUUUGAUAGGGUGGAAGGGUUCAAUCAUUUUGUUUUAACUGAUUCUGAUAUAGCAGUGGUUGACGAUCUUGGACAUAUAUUCAAAAAAUAUCCCCAUUGUCAUCUGGCUCUUACCUUUCGUAACAACAAAGGUCAACCCUUGAACUCUGGGUUUGUUGCGAUAAGAGGCACGAGGGAUGGCAUCACUAAAGCAGUGGCAUUCUUCAAACAAGUCCUUGAAGCUUACAACUUAAAAUAUAUGAAGGCUUCUCGAAUGCUUGGUGACCAAUUAGCAUUGGCAUGGGUUGUGAAAUCUCAUCUACCAUCGGCUUUAAGAAAAUUUUCUAAGCAUGAAGCAUUUACAGGUGAAGUUAAUGGAGCAUCUGUUCUCUUCUUGCCUUGUGCUGUUUAUAACUGGACUCCACCUGAGGGUGCUGGACAGUUUCAUGGUUGUCCAUUUCAAAGGUUCAAGGAAACGUUUGAUGCUUGAGGCAUGGAAUUUCUACAACUCAACCUCUAAAUUAUCUGAUAUGAUGUGCCUAAUCUUGAGAAGUGGAAGGACAAAAUAUGACUUCUAAAGUUUGGUUCAAAUUUAACACGUGAAUUAACACACAUGUUGAUCCUAGUAUCCUGCUGAAAGGCGGUGUUGUAUGUUCCUCAACUAGUAUGUGCAGUCCACACAGAACCAUACACAAAUCGUUGAGCAUGACACUGACAAAAGUGAUUCUCAAGUCACCGCAAGAACUCAUAUCGGAGUACAAUGAAAGAGUAUGAUUCUGAAUGUAACGAUGAUAUGUUCAUCUACUUGCAGGGGAUGUAAAAUUGGCGUGAAACUGUGGAUUGCCCCUUGGGACCCAUACCAGCGGAACUGUACGCAGUAGUACGCUAAAGCUAUAGCAGCCAGCAGGAUGACCAUGUAGGAGUCACCUUUGUUCUUUGGUGCAUUCCUGUCUGUAGAACAUGUACCAUAUGGUUUCCCGCUUCCCCCUCACUAUACACAAUAUCUUACUAGGUGAUUUUCACCAUUGGAAGUUA
Panicum hallii is the source of this 1766-nucleotide RNA transcript. RefSeq lists it as uncharacterized. Lineage: Eukaryota; Viridiplantae; Streptophyta; Magnoliopsida; Poales; Poaceae. The record is from RefSeq and is a predicted model, not a curated record. The transcript is spliced from 8 exons.